Long non-coding RNA from Hyla sarda, 348 nucleotides. RefSeq lists it as uncharacterized. NCBI's taxonomy places the organism in Eukaryota, Metazoa, Chordata, Amphibia, Anura, Hylidae. The transcript has 3 exons. The record is from RefSeq and is a predicted model, not a curated record.
AGGUGAUUAAUGCCCGAUGAGAGGGUGAAAGGGACCUAUACCCCCGUCAGCUGCAGGAAAGGAACAAAGAGACAGGUGAUUGAUGCCCGGUGAGAGGGGGAAAGGGACCUAUACCCCCGUCAGCUGCAGGAAAGGAACAAAGAGACAGAGGAUGAGAAUGCGCUGACAUAGUGAGGAGACGUCUGGGCGUCACAUUCUACAGACAGAAGUUUUAGCUGGACCAGGCUACCAUCUGAAUUAGAUAAGGGAAGACUAUAGAGAAGACGUCACCUGUAGUCACUGAUAUCAUUGUUCAUUCUCCUCUCUAUGUCCUAUCAGACCUGUAGUCCCUUGUCAGUUCUACAGUUA